RNAcentral lists this ribosomal RNA (253 nucleotides) under uncultured bacterium. RNAcentral describes it as "partial 16S ribosomal RNA". It matches the Rfam family "Bacterial small subunit ribosomal RNA", at positions 524 to 776 of the family's 1533-position model. The record is from RNAcentral.
UACGUAGGGGGCAAGCGUUGUCCGGAAUCAUUGGGCGUAAAGAGCGUGUAGGCGGCCCGGUAAGUCCGCUGUGAAAGUCCAGGGCUCAACCCUGGAAUGCCGGUGGAAACUGUCGGGCUAGAGUCCGGAAGAGGCGAGUGGAAUUCCUGGUGUAGCGGUGAAAUGCGCAGAUAUCAGGAGGAACACCAAUUGCGAAGGCAGCUCGCUGGGACGUUACUGACGCUGAGACGCGAAAGCGUGGGGAGCAAACAGG